Clupea harengus (Atlantic herring) is the source of this 606-nucleotide long non-coding RNA. NCBI's taxonomy places the organism in Eukaryota, Metazoa, Chordata, Actinopteri, Clupeiformes, Clupeidae. The record is from Ensembl.
GGGGUGGGGGUGGGUAAAGCUGACAUCUCGGUGCCCACACAGAGCCUGGCUAUGGAUCGGAGAGAGGAGCAGGAAGUAAGGAAAGAGGAGCAGGAGGUGGGGAGAGAGGAGCAGGAAGUAAGGAGAGAGGAGCAGGAAGUAAGGAGAGAGGAGCAGGAAGUGGGGAGAGAGGAGCAGGAAGUGAGAGGAGGUGGCAGAGGGGAGAAAAACAAGGGCCAUGCUAUAGAUGUACAGUGGGGUAGAGUUUGCCAGCACGCAGCCAGAUAAAGUUAGCAAGAGAGGAGAUGGACUCAACUGGGAGGAAGAAACCGUGUGUGUGUCUGUGUGUGUGUGUGAAUGUGUGAGUGAGGGUGCAUGUUUGUGUGUGUGGGGUGUGUAUAAGUGAGUGUGUUUGCAUGCAUGUAUGUGUGUGUGGGAUAUGUGUGAGUGAGUGUGUACGUGUACGUGUGUGUGUGUGUGUUGUGUGUGCAUGUGUGUGUGAGUGUGUGUUUGAGGGGUGACUGUGUUGAGACACGCCGGAGGAGGAAGUGCAUGGUAGGUGUGAGGCGUCAUGGCCCAGUAAAGGUGAGGGACGUUGGAGACACAGGGUAGGUGUGUGUGUGUGUG